ACCAUCAUUUUUGACAUACAUUUGUAAAUUUAUUUCGUCAAGUGAUCACAUGUUGAUAAUUUAGAUGAGGACCUGCGCAGCAGCAGAGGCGCAGCUGAUUGGAGCGGAGUUGGCCAAACGCGAAGGGUAGGCAAAAGGAAGCAAUCUCAGAAGCAGCAUCGAUACCAUUGCUGUUCCUGGCGAUAACCUGGCUACUGGUGGCGGUCACAACUGGAGCGGGAGCAGCUACCACGGCAGCAGGAGCAGAGUAGGCCAGAGGAGCAGAGUAAGCCAGAGGACCAGUGUACGCCAGGGCAGCACACAGGACUCCAGGCUUGGCAGCAGCGCAGGCGACGGUUAUCAGGACAAGGACGGCCUGUAAACAAAUCAGCUUGAUUAGUUUAAUCCUCUAUGGAUCCUUUCUGAAGAACUUUAUGUGAUUUCCCACUGCUGACUGCAGAAUGUGGAAUAACUCUUGGUGGCCACGGAAUGCGAUGGCCUGAGAUCACAGGCGCAGUCCCGAUGCGGCGCAUAAAUAGUGGUAUGGAAUGUGUUGGGCGACAUCAGGUUCAAGUUUUCGAACCGAAAGCACCAGAUCCAUAAUCCAAAUGUUUAAAUCCGACGUCCUUGUCUUGGCCAUCGUCUCCUGCUCUGCUGCCAAGCCUGGACUGCUUUGGACUACACUGCUCACGUGGUUCCUCUGCUUCACUCCGGUCUGACUGUCGUGGUAGCUGCUCUCGCUCCAGUUGUGACCGCUGCCAGUUAUCAGGUUAUCGCCAGGAACUACAAUGUAAUUGCUCUUGCUCCUGUGAUUGCUCCUGUGAUUGCUCCCGUGGCUUUUCUCUGGCUGUGCCUCUCUUGGCCCAGUACGCAGCCGCUCCUCUGGCUGCUCCAUGACCUACUCCUCGCCUUUGGCUUACUCCGCACCACUGAGCUACGCCGUUCCAUUUACACAGCUCCCUAUCUAAAUUACUAAGCUGUGAUCACCUCGGAGACAAUGAUAAUAAAUGGAGAUAUAAUAAGACGUUAUUCAAUUGUAUAUUCUUUUGCAAACACGCUUCAAAUUAGUAUUUAUUUUAAUGAAAAAUUAUAUCUGAACGUACACG
This 1085-nucleotide small RNA is filed under the name Drosophila melanogaster (fruit fly). Its description in RNAcentral is "hairpin RNA:Lsd1-interacting non-coding RNA 1 (Dmel_CR32205)". Lineage: Eukaryota; Metazoa; Arthropoda; Insecta; Diptera; Drosophilidae. The record is from RNAcentral.